Molecule: long non-coding RNA, 280 nt
Organism: Symphalangus syndactylus (siamang)
Lineage: Eukaryota; Metazoa; Chordata; Mammalia; Primates; Hylobatidae
Source: RefSeq, a predicted model, not a curated record
CUCGUUCCAACUGACGUGGCAUCAAAGGAGAAAUCUUAUGUGAUGAGAAGGCAAAUUCAGAAAUUCAAAUCCUGAUGGGUAACUCACCCCUAUCUUAGAUAAGAGCUUUGGGAGCCUGUGAGUUACAUGAAGGAAGAGACCCAAAGUCAAUGGUAUCUUGACAUGUUGGAGAUGCCACAUGUUCACAUUCUCACUGAGCCAGGGUGAGUUUGAACCAUCUCAGUCCUGGUACUCUAUAUGGAGACAACGAAGCUUUCUUGGAAACACAUUCUCCAGCCCC